RNAcentral lists this ribosomal RNA (497 nucleotides) under uncultured bacterium. RNAcentral's name for it is "partial 16S ribosomal RNA". It matches the Rfam family "Bacterial small subunit ribosomal RNA", at positions 28 to 507 of the family's 1533-position model. The record is from RNAcentral.
GAUGAACGCUGGCGGCGUGCCUAAUACAUGCAAGUCGAGCGAACAGACGAGGAGCUUGCUCCUCUGACGUUAGCGGCGGACGGGUGAGUAACACGUGGAUAACCUACCUAUAAGACUGGGAUAACUUCGGGAAACCGGAGCUAAUACCGGCUCAUAUAUUGAACCGCAUGGUUCAAUAGUGAAAGACGGUUUUGCUGUCACUUAUAGAUGGAUCCGCGCCGCAUUAGCUAGUUGGUAAGGUAACGGCCUACCAAGGCAACGAUGCGUAGCCGACCUGAGAGGGUGAUCGGCCACACUGGAACUGAGACACGGUCCAGACUCCUACGGGAGGCAGCAGUAGGGAAUCUUCCGCAAUGGGCGAAAGCCUGACGGAGCAACGCCGCGUGAGUGAUGAAGGUCUUCGGAUCGUAAAACUCUGUUAUUAGGGAAGAACAAAUGUGUAAGUAACUAUGCACGUCUUGACGGUACCUAAUCAGAAAGCCACGGCUAACUACGUG